UUUGGUUAAGUUAGAAAGGGCGCACGGUGGAUGCCUUGACACUAGGAGUCGAUGAAGGACGGGACUAACGCCGAUAUGCUUCGGGGAGCUGUAAGUAAGCUUUGAUCCGAAGAUUUCCGAAUGGGGAAACCCACCAUACGUAAUGGUAUGGUAUCCUUAUCUGAAUACAUAGGGUAAGGAAGACAGACCCAGGGAACUGAAACAUCUAAGUACCUGGAGGAAGAGAAAGCAAAUGCGAUUUCCUGAGUAGCGGCGAGCGAAACGGAACAUAGCCCAAACCAAGAGGCUUGCCUCUUGGGGUUGUAGGACAUUCUAUACGGAGUUACAAAGGAACGAGGUAGACGAAGCGACCUGGAAAGGUCCGUCGUAGAGGGUAACAACCCCGUAGUCGAAACUUCGUUCUCUCUUGAAUGUAUCCUGAGUACGGCGGAACACGUGAAAUUCCGUCGGAAUCUGGGAGGACCAUCUCCCAAGGCUAAAUACUCCCUAGUGAUCGAUAGUGAACCAGUACCGUGAGGGAAAGGUGAAAAGCACCCCGGAAGGGGAGUGAAAGAGAUCCUGAAACCGUGUGCCUACAAAUAGUCAGAGCCCGUUAACGGGUGAUGGCGUGCCUUUUGUAGAAUGAACCGGCGAGUUACGAUCCCGUGCGAGGUUAAGCUGAAGAGGCGGAGCCGCAGCGAAAGCGAGUCUGAAUAGGGCGUUUAGUACGUGGUCGUAGACCCGAAACCAGGUGAUCUACCCAUGUCCAGGGUGAAGUUCAGGUAACACUGAAUGGAGGCCCGAACCCACGCACGUUGAAAAGUGCGGGGAUGAGGUGUGGGUAGCGGAGAAAUUCCAAUCGAACCUGGAGAUAGCUGGUUCUCCCCGAAAUAGCUUUAGGGCUAGCCUUAAGUGUAAGAGUCUUGGAGGUAGAGCACUGAUUGGACUAGGGGUCCUCAUCGGAUUACCGAAUUCAGUCAAACUCCGAAUGCCAAUGACUUAUCCUUAGGAGUCAGACUGCGAGUGAUAAGAUCCGUAGUCAAAAGGGAAACAGCCCAGACCGCCAGCUAAGGUCCCAAAGUGUGUAUUAAGUGGAAAAGGAUGUGGAGUUGCUUAGACAACUAGGAUGUUGGCUUAGAAGCAGCCACCAUUUAAAGAGUGCGUAAUAGCUCACUAGUCGAGUGACUCUGCGCCGAAAAUGUACCGGGGCUAAAUACACCACCGAAGCUGCGGAUUGAUACCGAAUGGUAUCAGUGGUAGGGGAGCGUUCUAAGGACAGUGAAGUCAGACCGGAAGGACUGGUGGAGUGCUUAGAAGUGAGAAUGCCGGUAUGAGUAGCGAAAGACGGGUGAGAAUCCCGUCCACCGAAUGCCUAAGGUUUCCUGAGGAAGGCUCGUCCGCUCAGGGUUAGUCAGGACCUAAGCCGAGGCCGACAGGCGUAGGCGAUGGACAACAGGUUGAUAUUCCUGUACCACCUCUUUAUCGUUUGAGCAAUGGAGGGACGCAGAAGGAUAGAAGAAGCGUGCGAUUGGUUGUGCACGUCCAAGCAGUUAGGCUGAUAAGUAGGCAAAUCCGCUUAUCGUAAAGGCUGAGCUGUGAUGGGGAAGCUCCUUAUGGAGCGAAGUCUUUGAUUCCCCGCUGCCAAGAAAGCUUCUAGCGAGAUAAAAGGUGCCUGUACCGCAAACCGACACAGGUAGGCGAGGAGAGAAUCCUAAGGUGUGCGAGAGAACUCUGGUUAAGGAACUCGGCAAAAUGACCCCGUAACUUCGGGAGAAGGGGUGCUUUCUUAACGGAAAGCCGCAGUGAAUAGGCCCAAGCGACUGUUUAGCAAAAACACAGCUCUCUGCGAAGCCGUAAGGCGAAGUAUAGGGGGUGACACCUGCCCGGUGCUGGAAGGUUAAGGAGAGGGGUUAGCGUAAGCGAAGCUCUGAACUGAAGCCCCAGUAAACGGCGGCCGUAACUAUAACGGUCCUAAGGUAGCGAAAUUCCUUGUCGGGUAAGUUCCGACCCGCACGAAAGGUGUAACGAUUUGGGCACUGUCUCAACCAGAGACUCGGUGAAAUUAUAGUACCUGUGAAGAUGCAGGUUACCCGCGACAGGACGGAAAGACCCCGUGGAGCUUUACUGUAGCCUGAUAUUGAAUUUUGGUACAGUUUGUACAGGAUAGGCGGGAGCCUUUGAAACCGGAGCGCUAGCUUCGGUGGAGGCGCUGGUGGGAUACCGCCCUGACUGUAUUGAAAUUCUAACCUACGGGUCUUAUCGACCCGGGAGACAGUGUCAGGUGGGCAGUUUGACUGGGGCGGUCGCCUCCUAAAGUGUAACGGAGGCGCCCAAAGGUUCCCUCAGAAUGGUUGGAAAUCAUUCGUAGAGUGCAAAGGCAUAAGGGAGCUUGACUGCGAGACCUACAAGUCGAGCAGGGACGAAAGUCGGGCUUAGUGAUCCGGUGGUUCCGCAUGGAAGGGCCAUCGCUCAACGGAUAAAAGCUACCCCGGGGAUAACAGGCUUAUCUCCCCCAAGAGUCCACAUCGACGGGGAGGUUUGGCACCUCGAUGUCGGCUCAUCGCAUCCUGGGGCUGUAGUCGGUCCCAAGGGUUGGGCUGUUCGCCCAUUAAAGCGGUACGCGAGCUGGGUUCAGAACGUCGUGAGACAGUUCGGUCCCUAUCCGUCGUGGGCGUAGGAAAUUUGAGAGGAGCUGUCCUUAGUACGAGAGGACCGGGAUGGACGCACCGCUGGUGUACCAGUUGUUCUGCCAAGGGCAUAGCUGGGUAGCUAUGUGCGGAAGGGAUAAGUGCUGAAAGCAUCUAAGCAUGAAGCCCCCCUCAAGAUGAGAUUUCCCAUAGCGUAAGCUAGUAAGAUCCCUGAAAGAUGAUCAGGUUGAUAGGUUCGAGGUGGAAGCAUGGUGACAUGUGGAGCUGACGAAUACUAAUAGAUCGAGGACUUAACCAUAUAA
RNAcentral lists this ribosomal RNA (2929 nucleotides) under Bacillus sp. ABP14. RNAcentral describes it as "bacterial LSU rRNA". It matches the Rfam family "Bacterial large subunit ribosomal RNA". The record is from RNAcentral. Lineage: Bacteria; Bacillati; Bacillota; Bacilli; Caryophanales; Bacillaceae.